AUGAAAUGUCAAUGCUCUAACAUGUCAGACUCACUCAGGCUGUGGAUCAGAAGGAUGUAUGGUACUUGUGGACUCUGCGUUUCCUUCAUUUUGUUUUUUGGUCUGCAAGUAAACCUAUGAAAGAAAAAAGGAUUUACAUGAGAUGAACAUUGAUUACAUUAGAAACAAUUUAAAAUAUCCAGGGACUUCCUGGUUUAUAUGUGGAAGCUGAACACAUCCCACCCCUCUGUAACGGUAUAAAGUCUCAUCUCAAUGUGUUCACUGAAGCUGUGCCUCAUGAGGAUGGAUGGUUCUUGGGAACUCUGUGUGUUUUUCAUUUUGAUUGUUGGUAGGGCAAACAGUGUGACAGUUGUACAGACUUCGUUCAUCCUAAUCAAUGAAACAGAAGAAAUUAAAAUCACUUGUAAACAUGAUGGUAGCAGCUUACGGGUAAUGCUAUGGUAUCAGCAAAAAAGCAGCACAGUUAUGGAUCUAAUUGGAUAUACUGCUGGACCGACGAGUGAGCCAAACUAUGAGGAUGGAUUUAAAGAUCAAUUCAAACAGAGCAGACAGAGCACAACUGAAGGAAGUCUGACCAUCUCUCAACUCCGCCAGUCAGACUCUGCUGUUUAUUACUGUGCAGCAA
This is a long non-coding RNA of Neoarius graeffei (lesser salmon catfish), 625 nucleotides long. RefSeq lists it as uncharacterized. The transcript is spliced from 4 exons. Lineage: Eukaryota; Metazoa; Chordata; Actinopteri; Siluriformes; Ariidae. The record is from RefSeq and is a predicted model, not a curated record.